Pollicipes pollicipes is the source of this 407-nucleotide long non-coding RNA. RefSeq lists it as uncharacterized. The transcript has 4 exons. Lineage: Eukaryota; Metazoa; Arthropoda; Thecostraca; Pollicipedomorpha; Pollicipedidae. The record is from RefSeq and is a predicted model, not a curated record.
UUCACCCCGCGACUACUACAGGAUCAAGUACCAGAAAGAGCUGGGCGAGGGUCGGCCGUACCGGCCGCCGCCCAAGCCGGACCCGCCGCGCCAGGUGCCGCCCUAUCUUGGCUUCGGCAGCGAGGAGGACACGCUCACCUCCGUCUUCAACCUCAUACCGCAGGCGCCCAAGAAGGACUUCAACAAGUUCAUGGUCAACGACAGGAACGGCCUAGACGGCCAUGUGCUGCGCUUCUCGGCUCAGAUGGUGACCACCAGCAAGAUCGACGCCACCAGGAAGUUCAUCCUGUGCUUCUUCCUCAGCGACGACACCCUCUCCAUAUACGAGGUGCCCAUACCCAACAGCGGGAUCGCCGGAGGCCAGUUCCUGGAGCGGGGCCCGGUGCGGCGCGACCCGGAGUGCCGCC